UGAGGAAUAUUGGUCAAUGGGCGCGAGCCUGAACCAGCCAUCCCGCGUGCAGGAAGAAUGCCCUAUGGGUUGUAAACUGCUUUUUCGCAUGAAGAACACUUCCAACGUGUCGGGAGCUGACGGUAAUGCGUGAAUAAGCACCUGCUAACUCCGUGCCAGCAGCCGCGGUAAUACGGAGGGUGCAAGCGUUAUCCGGAUUUAUUGGGUUUAAAGGGUGCGUAGGCGGCUAUUUAAGUCAGUGGUGAAAUCCUGCAGCUCAACUGUAGAACAGCCAUUGAAACUGAAUAGCUUGAGUAAUCUUGAGGUAGGCGGAAUGUGUAGUGUAGCGGUGAAAUGCUUAGAUAUUACACAGAACACCGAUUGCGAAGGCAGCUUACUAAGGAUUCACUGACGCUGAGGCACGAAAGCGUGGGGAUCAAACA
RNAcentral lists this ribosomal RNA (422 nucleotides) under uncultured prokaryote. RNAcentral describes it as "bacterial SSU rRNA". It matches the Rfam family "Bacterial small subunit ribosomal RNA", at positions 355 to 774 of the family's 1533-position model. The record is from RNAcentral.